Arabidopsis thaliana (thale cress) is the source of this 271-nucleotide long non-coding RNA. RefSeq annotates it as other RNA. The record is from RefSeq. Lineage: Eukaryota; Viridiplantae; Streptophyta; Magnoliopsida; Brassicales; Brassicaceae. The transcript has a single exon.
GUCUGGUGCCGUGGCCCAACCACCUGUUGUCUCGUGAGAUAUCUGCGCCAAAAACGCAGCCACUUCGCGUCGCCUUGUCCAAAAGUUUCCUACGCUCCCGAACUUCGGGAAGGAUCUUGUAGCCUCCACGAAAGCUUCAUAGGGGUAGAAACCUUUUGCAGGGCAUGCGUUGUUGUCCUUGUGGAUGAAGAUUUGGUCGUAGAGAGUUCUUGGGACUAGGCUCAUGAUCGGUGCGGGUUUAUAUUUAUUGUGUUUUCGAGCUUCGGUUUCA